GACGAACGCUGGCGGCGUGCUUAACACAUGCAAGUCGAACGGAAAGGCCCUGCUUUUGUGGGGUGCUCGAGUGGCGAACGGGUGAGUAACACGUGAGUAACCUGCCCUUGACUUUGGGAUAACUUCAGGAAACUGGGGCUAAUACCGGAUAGGAGCUCCUGCUGCAUGGUGGGGGUUGGAAAGUUUCGGCGGUUGGGGAUGGACUCGCGGCUUAUCAGCUUGUUGGUGGGGUAGUGGCUUACCAAGGCUUUGACGGGUAGCCGGCCUGAGAGGGUGACCGGCCACAUUGGGACUGAGAUACGGCGCAGACUGGUACGGUAGGCAGCAGGGGGGAAUAUUGCACAAUGGGCGGAAGCCUGAUGCAGCAACGCCGCGGGCGGGAUGACGGCCUGCGGGUUGUAAACCGCUGUCGCCUGUGACGAAGCGUGAGUGACGGUAAUGGGUAAAGAAGCACCGGCUAACUACGUG
Molecule: ribosomal RNA, 468 nt
Filed under: uncultured bacterium
Lineage: Bacteria
Description: partial 16S ribosomal RNA
Rfam family: Bacterial small subunit ribosomal RNA
Source: RNAcentral